This 376-nucleotide ribosomal RNA is filed under the name Maribacter arenosus. Its description in RNAcentral is "bacterial SSU rRNA". It matches the Rfam family "Bacterial small subunit ribosomal RNA", at positions 1 to 368 of the family's 1533-position model. The record is from RNAcentral. Lineage: Bacteria; Pseudomonadati; Bacteroidota; Flavobacteriia; Flavobacteriales; Flavobacteriaceae.
CAACGAUGAAGAGUUUGAUCCUGGCUCAGGAUGAACGCUAGCGGCAGGCCUAACACAUGCAAGUCGAGGGGCAGCAUGGAUUGCUUGCAAUCCGAUGGCGACCGGCGCACGGGUGCGCACCGCGUAUGGAACCUGCCUUUUGCAGGGGAAUAGCCCAGGGAAACUUGGAUUAAUGCCCCGUAGUACCAUUAUGCAGCAUUGCAUUUUGGUUAAAGCCUUCGGGCGGCAAGAGAUGGCCAUGCGUCCCAUUAGCUUGAUGGUAAGGUAACGGCUUACCAUGGCUACGAUGGGUAGGGGCCCUGAGAGGGGGAUCCCCCACACUGGUACUGAGACACGGACCAGACUCCUACGGGAGGCAGCAGUGAGGAAUAUUGGA